AACGGUCUAUACCUGCGGUACCUGCGGAGGGAUCAUUAAUGAGAAACUGCCCCUCGCGGGUAGAUCUCCCACCCUUUGUAAACUUACCUUUGUUGCUUUGGCAGGCCCGUCUCCGGACCGCCGGCUUCGGCUGGCCAGUGCCUGCCAGAGGAUUCUAAAACUCUGUCUGUCAGUGUUGUCUGAGUCUAUAUACAAUCGUUAAAACUUUUAGCAAUGGAUCUCUAGAUCGGAAGAGCACAC
This 240-nucleotide unclassified non-coding RNA is filed under the name soil metagenome. RNAcentral describes it as "partial contains 5.8S ribosomal RNA, internal transcribed spacer 2, and large subunit ribosomal RNA". The record is from RNAcentral.